RNAcentral lists this ribosomal RNA (254 nucleotides) under uncultured bacterium. RNAcentral describes it as "partial 16S ribosomal RNA". It matches the Rfam family "Bacterial small subunit ribosomal RNA", at positions 524 to 776 of the family's 1533-position model. The record is from RNAcentral.
UACGUAGGGUGCAAGCGUUUGUCCGGAAUUAUUGGGCGUAAAGAGCUCGUAGGCGGUCUGUCGCGUCGGCUGUGAAAACCCGGAGCUCAACUCCGGGCCUGCAGUCGAUACGGGCAGACUGGAGUUCGGCAGGGGAGACUGGAAUUCCUGGUGUAGCGGUGAAAUGCGCAGAUAUCAGGAGGAACACCGGUGGCGAAGGCGGGUCUCUGGGCCGAUACUGACGCUGAGGAGCGAAAGCGUGGGGAGCGAACAGG